This 1001-nucleotide long non-coding RNA is filed under the name Homo sapiens (human). RNAcentral's name for it is "non-protein coding lnc-DPP4-10:1". The record is from RNAcentral. Lineage: Eukaryota; Metazoa; Chordata; Mammalia; Primates; Hominidae.
AAGCAGAAUUUGAUAUGUCUGCCAUACCUAGAAAACGUGGUAGACCAAGAAAAAUCAAUCCAUCUGAAGAUGUAGGAUCUAAGGCUGUUAAGGAAGAGAGAAGCCCCAAGAAGAAAGAGGCUCCCAGCAUUAAAAGGAGAUCUACAAGAAAUACCCCAGCUAAAAGUGAAAAUGUUGAUGUUGGAAAACCAGCUUUAGGAAAAUCCAUUUUAGUGCCAAACGAGGAACUUUCGAUGGUGAUGAGCUCUAAGAAAAAACUUACAAAAAAGACUGAAAGUCAAAGUCAAAAACGUUCAUUGCACUCAGUAUCAGAAGAACGCACAGAUGAAAUGACACAUAAAGAAACAAAUGAGCAGGAAGAAAGAUUGCUCGCCACAGCUUCCUUCACUAAAUCAUCCCGCAGCACCAGGACUCAGUCUAGCAAGGCCAUCUUGUUGCCGGACCUUUCUGAACCAAACAAUGAGCCUUUAUUUUCUCCAGCGGCAGAAGUUCCAAGAAAGCAAAAGCUAAAAAAAUAGAGGUUCCUGCACAGCUGAAAGAAUUAGUUUCGGAUUUAUCUUCUCAGUUUGUCAUCUCACCUCCUGCUUUAAGGAGCAGACAAAAAAACACAUCCAAUAAGAACAAGCUUGAAGAUGAACUGAAAGAUGAUGCACAAUCAGUAGAAACUGUGGGAAAGCCAAAAGCGAAAGGAAUCAGGACGUCAAAAACAAAACAAGCAAAAACACAGAAAAAGAAAGUGCUUGGUCACCUCCUGCCGUAGAAAUUCGGCUGAUUUCCCCCUUGGCUAGCCCAGUUGACGGAGUCAAGAGCAAACCAAGAAAAACUACAGAAGUGACAGGAACAGGUCUUGGAAGGAACAGAAAGAAACUGUCUUCCUAUCCAAAGCAAAUUUUACGCAGAAAAAUGCUGUAAUUUCUUGGGAAGUUUUUAAUGUACACCUAUUUGUAAAGUCAUCAGAAUAGUGUGGAUUAUUAAAUAUCUAGUUUGGAAGAAAAUAAUUU